This 472-nucleotide ribosomal RNA is filed under the name uncultured bacterium. Its description in RNAcentral is "bacterial SSU rRNA". It matches the Rfam family "Bacterial small subunit ribosomal RNA", at positions 355 to 825 of the family's 1533-position model. The record is from RNAcentral.
UGGGGAAUUUUGGACAAUGGGCGAAAGCCUGAUCCAGCCAUGCCGCGUGCAGGAUGAAGGCCUUCGGGUUGUAAACUGCUUUUGUACGGAACGAAAAGACUCCUUCUAAUAAAGGGGGUCCAUGACGGUACCGUAAGAAUAAGCACCGGCUAACUACGUGCCAGCAGCCGCGGUAAUACGUAGGGUGCAAGCGUUAAUCGGAAUUACUGGGCGUAAAGCGUGCGCAGGCGGUUAUAUAAGACAGAUGUGAAAUCCCCGGGCUCAACCUGGGAACUGCAUUUGUGACUGUAUAGCUAGAGUACGGUAGAGGGGGAUGGAAUUCCGCGUGUAGCAGUGAAAUGCGUAGAUAUGCGGAGGAACACCGAUGGCGAAGGCAAUCCCCUGGACCUGUACUGACGCUCAUGCACGAAAGCGUGGGGAGCAAACAGGAUUAGAUACCCCAGUAGUCCCUGAGCGGGCUGGCAAGGCGCAU